GUGUUCCAAGCUUUACUUCUUAUGACCCUUAAUUUUUUAUAUUUCAAACACCACCAGCACAUACCCCCUCCCUAAUUUUUAUAUGUCAAACACCCCCUUAGCUCAUAAUAAUAGUCGAAGCACCUGUUGAAGCCAUAAUAGAUUCCACUAGAGGGACAUUGUGAAUAUUACUACUUGGUUUACAUCGAACUAGUCAAGGAGUAGAUUAUGAUA
RNAcentral lists this long non-coding RNA (213 nucleotides) under Elaeis guineensis (African oil palm). Its description in RNAcentral is "long non-coding RNA (EGUI_LNC027559)". Lineage: Eukaryota; Viridiplantae; Streptophyta; Magnoliopsida; Arecales; Arecaceae. The record is from RNAcentral.